GGGGUGGAGCAGCCCGGUAGCUCGUCAGGCUCAUAACCUGAUAGGCUGAGGCGACCAAGAGACUUCCAGUGGAAGUCUCGCCUCGCCGAAGAGUUCAAAUCCUCCGGCCCA
RNAcentral lists this transfer RNA (111 nucleotides) under Limibacillus halophilus. Its description in RNAcentral is "tRNA-Met". Lineage: Bacteria; Pseudomonadati; Pseudomonadota; Alphaproteobacteria; Rhodospirillales; Rhodovibrionaceae. The record is from RNAcentral.